ACACGUAGGUGGCGAGCGUUAUCCGGAAUUAUUGGGCGUAAAGGGCGCGCAGGCGGCCAUUUAAGUUUGACGUGAAAGCUCCUGGCUCAACUGGGAGAAGUCGUUGAAAACUGGAUGGCUUGAGUCAAUGAGAGGGGUGCGGAAUUCCCGGUGUAGUGGUGGAAUGCGUAGAUAUCGGGAGGAACACCAGUGGCGAAAGCGGCACCCUAGCAUUGGACUGACGCUGAAGUGCGAAAGCGUGGGGAGCGAACGGGAUUAGAUACCCCGGUAGUCCACGCUGUAAACGAUGAACACUAGGUGUAGGGCGAGUCAAAUCGUUCUGUGCCGAAGCAAACGCGAUAAGUGUUCCGCCUGGGGAGUACGGCCGCAAGGCUAAA
Molecule: ribosomal RNA, 377 nt
Filed under: uncultured bacterium
Lineage: Bacteria
Description: bacterial SSU rRNA
Rfam family: Bacterial small subunit ribosomal RNA
Source: RNAcentral